AGUGGAUUACCUCUUAGAAGCUUCAAUCUAAGCUCUAAACUCUUGAAAUCCCAAGAUCUUCCCUCAACAAUCCACCAAGACCAAGCUCCAAGCUUCACAAUGGUGGAAAAGCAAAGAAAAGGGAAAAGAGAAGGAUCAACACUUAAAUCCCAAGCUAAAAAGAGAUCAAAUCCAAAGGGGGUGAAGGGGAGAGGUGCCCUACCUUUCUUCCUGCAAUGGUGAGC
RNAcentral lists this long non-coding RNA (224 nucleotides) under Ananas comosus (pineapple). Its description in RNAcentral is "long non-coding RNA (ACOM_LNC041709)". Lineage: Eukaryota; Viridiplantae; Streptophyta; Magnoliopsida; Poales; Bromeliaceae. The record is from RNAcentral.